This 730-nucleotide long non-coding RNA is filed under the name Ananas comosus (pineapple). Its description in RNAcentral is "long non-coding RNA (ACOM_LNC039519)". Lineage: Eukaryota; Viridiplantae; Streptophyta; Magnoliopsida; Poales; Bromeliaceae. The record is from RNAcentral.
AUAUAGAGAGAGAGAGAGAGAGAGAUAGUCUCCUAUACUAUCUAUAGUACCGGGGCUUCGGUACUAUAGUCUCGUUUUCGUUCUUAGGGUAUUCAAAUCAACGAUCCACACCGUUAAAACUGAUCUAGGGUAUUUGAAGUUUUUAGAAAACACUUUAAACUAUCUAGAUUAAGAUUAAAGCUGAUAGAAAAUACUUUAAACUAUCUAGAUUAAGGUUAACAUUCUUGAUAUUGAAUUUAAAAGUCCUAUGCUCAAAUUUUAAAAAUUAUUCAAUUUUUACCGUCUAUUUUGAUAUAAUUUAUUUGCUAAGUAAACGAUGUCGAAAAAAAUUAAAAUUUUAUUCCUAAGAACUUCAUAUACCCUAGAUCAUAUUUAACGUUGUAGAUCGUUAAUUUGAACACUCUAAGAUCGAAAACAAGACUAUAGAACCGGCGCUCCGAUACUAUAGAUAGUAUAGCGGCCUAAUUCUAUAUAUAUAUAUAGAGUUCGGCUGUGAUACUAUCGAUAGCUCCAAGGAUUUGGUGCUAUCAAGUUUUCAACCGUUAGAUUUAACUCUUUUAUUAUUUUUACCUGUUAGAUUAUACUAUUUAACAAACUAUCUAUUCAAACCCAAGGGGUCCACAUCAUACUAACCGCAUAUUUCUCAAUUGAAGGACUAAAAAAUUAAUAGCACCAAUAGCUUCGUGCUAUUAAUAGCAUUUCAGCCUAGUUAUAUAUAUAUAUAUAUAUG